This 256-nucleotide ribosomal RNA is filed under the name uncultured bacterium. RNAcentral's name for it is "partial 16S ribosomal RNA". It matches the Rfam family "Bacterial small subunit ribosomal RNA", at positions 521 to 776 of the family's 1533-position model. The record is from RNAcentral.
UAAUACGGAGGGAGCUAGCGUUGUUCGGAAUUACUGGGCGUAAAGCGCACGUAGGCGGCGACUCAAGUCAGAGGUGAAAGCCCGGGGCUCAACCCCGGAACUGCCUUUGAAACUAGGUCGCUAGAAUCUUGGAGAGGUCAGUGGAAUUCCGAGUGUAGAGGUGAAAUUCGUAGAUAUUCGGAAGAACACCAGUGGCGAAGGCGACUGACUGGACAAGUAUUGACGCUGAGGUGCGAAAGCGUGGGGAGCAAACAGG